AAUGAGAAGGGUAGUGUCAUGGGUAUGAAAAUGAGAAGGGAAAGAAAAGAAAAUGUAAAGAAAGAAAGAAAAUGGAAGAAAAAGGAAAAAGAAAAUAAAAUGAAAGAGAAGGCUGUGAGUGGGCGGCAAAAUGAGAAAAGAAAAAAAAAAUAAAAAAAAGCCUUUAGGGUUUGACUUUCAGAAUGGAUGGUGGAGAUUAAAAACGAAAAAGAAUUGCUAGGAUUAGUUCUCACAUAUGGGUAUAGAAAGAUGGGCCUAGGUUGGGCCAAAAUUAAAAUGGAAGGAGCC
This 288-nucleotide long non-coding RNA is filed under the name Vitis vinifera (wine grape). RNAcentral describes it as "long non-coding RNA (VVIN_LNC007482)". The record is from RNAcentral. Lineage: Eukaryota; Viridiplantae; Streptophyta; Magnoliopsida; Vitales; Vitaceae.